Molecule: ribosomal RNA, 553 nt
Filed under: uncultured eukaryote
Lineage: Eukaryota
Description: SSU rRNA
Rfam family: Eukaryotic small subunit ribosomal RNA
Source: RNAcentral
GUAGUCAUAUGCUUGUCUCAAAGAUUAAGCCAUGCAUGUCUAAGUAUAAGCAAUAUAUACCGUGAAACUGCGAAUGGCUCAUUAAAUCAGUUAUCGUUUAUUUGAUAGUACCUUACUACUUGGAUAACCGUGGUAAUUCUAGAGCUAAUACAUGCUAAAAAACCCCGACUUCGGAAGGGGUGUAUUUAUUAGAUAAAAAACCAAUGCCCUUCGGGGCUCACUGGUGAUUCAUAAUAACUUAACGAAUCGCAUGGCCUUGUGCCGGCGAUGGUUCAUUCGAAUUUCUGCCCUAUCAACUUUCGAUGGUAUGGUCUUGGCUUACCAUGGUUUCAACGGGUAACGGGGAAUUAGGGUUCUAUUCCGGAGAGGGAGCCUGAGAAACGGCCACCACAUCCAAGGAAGGCAGCAGGCGCGCAAAUUACCCAAUCCUGAUACAGGGAGGUAGUGACAAUAAAUACUGAUACAGGGCUCUUUUGGGUCUUGUAAUUGGAAUGAGUACAAUUUAAAUCCCUUAACGAGGAACAAUUGGAGGGCAAGUCUGGUGCCAGCAGCC